RNAcentral lists this ribosomal RNA (507 nucleotides) under uncultured bacterium. Its description in RNAcentral is "bacterial SSU rRNA". It matches the Rfam family "Bacterial small subunit ribosomal RNA", at positions 19 to 518 of the family's 1533-position model. The record is from RNAcentral.
CUGGCUCAGGAUGAACGCUAGCUACAGGCUUAACACAUGCAAGUCGAGGGGCAGCAUUGGAGUAGCAAUACUCAGAUGGCGACCGGCGCACGGGUGAGUAACACGUAUCCAACCUGCCGCUUACUCGGGGAUAGCCUUUCGAAAGAAAGAUUAAUACCCGAUGGUAUAAAGAGUUCGCAUGUUCUCUUUAUUAAAGAAUUUCGGUAAGCGAUGGGGAUGCGUUCCAUUAGAUAGUUGCGGGGUAACGGCCCACCAAGUCUACGAUGGAUAGGGGUUCUGAGAGGAAGGUCCCCCACAUUGGAACUGAGACACGGUCCAAACUCCUACGGGAGGCAGCAGUGAGGAAUAUUGGUCAAUGGACGAGAGUCUGAACCAGCCAAAAGUAGCGUGAAGGAUGACUGCCCUAUGGGUUGUAAACUUCUUUUAUAAGGGAAUAAAGUGAGGGACGUGUCCCUUUUUGUAUGUACCUUAUGAAUAAGGAUCGGCUAACUCCGUGCCAGCCGCGGC